CGGUAGCGAUCGAGGGAAAUUAGUACCGAAGUCCGAGAUGGAAGAUGGCGAGAAAAGCUGUGUGUAUUUCUGCGGUGCCCGUACCGCAAACCGACACAGGUAGGUAGGAAGAAGAUUCUAAGGCCAACGGGAGAAGGGUUGUUAAGGAACUCGGCAAAUUGACCCCGUAACUUCGGGAGAAGGGGUGCUGCAGCAAUGCAGCCGCAGAGAAUCGGCCCAAGCAACUGUUUACCAAAAACACAGGUUUGUGCUAAAUCGAAAGAUGACGUAUACGAGCUGACGCCUGCCCGGUGCUGGAAGGUUAAGAGGAGAUGUGCAAGCAUUGAAUCGAAGCCCCAGUGAACGGCGGCCGUAACUAUAACGGUCCUAAGGUAGCGAAAUUCCUUGUCAGGUAAGUUCUGACCCGCAUGAAAGGCGUAAUGAUUUGGGCACUGUCUCAACAGCCCGCCCGGCGAAAUUGUAGUACCGGUGAAGAUGCCGGUUACCCGCGACAAGACGGAAAGACCCCAUGGAGCUUUACUGUAGCCUAAUAUUGGGUUUCGAUGUUGCAUGCACAGGAUAGAUGGGACACUGGGAAGCAGGUGCUUUGGCGCUUGUGGAGUGGCCGUUGGGAUACCAUCCUUGCGAUAUUGGAAUUCUAACCUGCGCCUUUGAAUCAAGGCGGGGGACAUUGUUAGGUGGGCAGUUUGACUGGGGCGGUCGCCUCCUAAAGAGUAACGGAGGCGUUCAAAGGUUCGCUCAGCUUGAACGGAAAUCAAGCAAAAGAGUGCAAACGCAGAAGCGAGCCUAACUGCGAGACUGACGGGUCGAGCAGUAACGAAAGUUGGAGUUAGUGAUCCGGUGGUAUGUGAGUGGAAAUGCCAUCGCUCAACGGAUAAAAGUUACCCUGGGGAUAACAGGCUGAUCUCCCCCAAGAGUCCACAUCGACGGGGAGGUUUGGCACCUCGAUGUCGGCUCAUCGCAUCCUGGGGCUGUAUUCGGUCCCAAGGGUUUGGCUGUUCGCCAAUUAAAGCGGUACGCGAGCUGGGUUCAGAACGUCGUGAGACAGUUCGGUCCCUAUCUGUCGUGGGCGCAGGAUAUUUGAUGGGAGCUGUUCCUAGUACGAGAGGACCGGAGCGGACGUACCUCUGGCGCACCAGUUGUUCUGCCAAGGGCAUAGCUGGGCAACUAUGUACGGAUCGGAUAAACGCUGAAAGCAUCUAAGCGUGAAGCCGACCCAAAGAUAAGAUAUCCCAUUGUUUCAAACAAGUAAGACCCCUUGAAGACUACAAGGUUGAUAGGCACGAUGUGUAAGUGGAGUGAUCCAUUCAGCAAGCGUGUACUAAUAGGUCGAGGGCUUGACCAC
RNAcentral lists this ribosomal RNA (1345 nucleotides) under human gut metagenome. RNAcentral describes it as "bacterial LSU rRNA". It matches the Rfam family "Bacterial large subunit ribosomal RNA", at positions 1560 to 2925 of the family's 2925-position model. The record is from RNAcentral.